RNAcentral lists this ribosomal RNA (250 nucleotides) under uncultured bacterium. RNAcentral describes it as "partial 16S ribosomal RNA". It matches the Rfam family "Bacterial small subunit ribosomal RNA", at positions 1139 to 1388 of the family's 1533-position model. The record is from RNAcentral.
UCUAAGGAGACUGCCGGUGACAAACCGGAGGAAGGUGGGGAUGACGUCAAGUCCUCAUGGCCCUUAUGGGUAGGGCUUCACACGUCAUACAAUGGUCGGUACAGAGGGCUGCCAAACCGCGAGGUGGAGCUAACCCCAGAAAACCGAUCGUAGUCCGGAUCGCAGUCUGCAACUCGACUGCGUGAAGCUGGAAUCGCUAGUAAUCGCGGAUCAGCAUGUCGCGGUGAAUACGUUCCCGGGUCUUGUACAC